AAUUAGAAUUCUUCCCUCCAGCCACAGCCCUGUUCUGCUAGAGACGGAAACUGCCUUAGACCUGGGGUUUCUCAUCUGCAUAGGAUCCUCCUCAAACUUACCAUUUUGGCCAGAAUGACUGACUAACUGCCCCCCUCUAUGAAUUACCAUGGGAAAAAAAAAAAGAAGGCCAGCACAACUCGUGAGAGGCCACCAGACAUGGGAAGGUCACCUUUCAAUACAAUGAACUUCAAGGAAGCUCCAGGACCCAGACCUUAAGAAUUGUUGAACCCUAUAAUAAGUUCUUUCUCAUUGUGCCCCACCACCCAGCAAGCACAGACAUAAAGCAGAAACUCGAGCCGGCUUUCAUUCAAGCAGAAGGGCACCCCAACAUCGCGUUAUUGACAGGAGUUCUGAAAACCCUGACAGCUGCAGAAAUUGUGCUGUUGAAGCUCAAUUCCCCGGAGUUGGGAAUAAUAUACUGAUGUGCUAUCAUGAGCGGGUCUGACUAUUGGGAUGGAGGCGCUCUUUGUAUGCGGUUCUGAGCAGCAUCUGCAUAUUCUGGCCUCCUUGUUUGUGAUCUUGCUCAGCUGCCUACCAGUUCCAGCAAGUUUUGCGCCCCUUAUGGAAUGCUGGAGUACUACCAGGUCACCAAAGUCAAAUCAUUUACACCUUUUAUGAGUUUGUGGCUUCUAUUUCUUAACUUUGUACUUGUGUGUUCACUGGGAGUGUUAAUGAACAAGAACAUCACUUUACAGCAGGCUUAGAGAGAAAGCACUGGCAGUUUCAUCAUAGGGUUGUGGGGUAGAUGUGUUUUAUGGAUGUGCUUUACCUAAAGGAGCACAUCACCGCCCUUUAUAGCCCAGGGGCUUUGUUUCACUCGUGCAUCAGCAAUUGCUGUUGAGUUUCAACAGAUGCCUUUGUCUGUUUAUAAUGAAACAGUCACCUCCCCCUCUACUUUUGGAAAGUUGGGAAGAGUUAAAUUUAUGGAUAUUUGAGUCUUCCAUCGGCUAUGAAUUCCAGAGAUCAAAAUCACUUUCUAAGGAUGCUGUGGAUUGAUUCGAGAUUUUCCCAAAGGUUUAGGUGUUUGAACACUUAUUUGCUCCCUGGCUGGUCGUGCUGCUUGGGAAGAUUUCAGAACCUCAAGAAGGUGGGAGUGGGUCCUCUGUUUGUGGGGGUGUUUCUUUUUCCUCAUGAGACAAGGAUCUCAUUCAGAAGUGUAUCGAUUCUUAAAAUAAUCAACAAGUCAAAUUACAGCAUCCAACAGAUGUUUUACCAUCCAUUUGAAGAAAGCUAAUACUCAACUCUUGUUGUCAGACUUCAAAGAAAAUACAUGUCUAUUUAAGGGAUAAAUAAUACUUUGUUACUCGACAUUGCAUGUAAAACUAAUAAAAAUCCCAACAGUU
Long non-coding RNA from Mus musculus (house mouse), 1385 nucleotides. RefSeq annotates it as RIKEN cDNA C230079O03 gene. The record is from RefSeq and is marked validated. The transcript is spliced from 5 exons. Lineage: Eukaryota; Metazoa; Chordata; Mammalia; Rodentia; Muridae.